GAUGAACGCUGGCGGCGUGCCUAAUACAUGCAAGUCGAGCGAACGGACGAGAAGCUUGCUUCUCUGAUGUUAGCGGCGGACGGGUGAGUAACACGUGGAUAACCUACCUAUAAGACUGGGAUAACUUCGGGAAACCGGAGCUAAUACCGGAUAAUAUUUUGAACCGCAUGGUUCAAAAGUGAAAGACGGUCUUGCUGUCACUUAUAGAUGGAUCCGCGCUGCAUUAGCUAGUUGGUAAGGUAACGGCUUACCAAGGCAACGAUGCAUAGCCGACCUGAGAGGGUGAUCGGCCACCCUGGAACUGAGACACGGUCCCGACUCCUACGGGAGGCAGCAGUCGGGAAUCUUCCGCGAUGGGGGAAAGCCUGACGGUGCAACGCCGCGUGAGUGAUGAAGGUCUUCGGAUCGUAAAACUCUGUUAUUAGGGAAGAACAUAUGUGUAAGUAACUGUGCACAUCUUGACGGUACCUAAUCAGAAAGCCACGGCUAACUACGUG
RNAcentral lists this ribosomal RNA (497 nucleotides) under uncultured bacterium. RNAcentral's name for it is "partial 16S ribosomal RNA". It matches the Rfam family "Bacterial small subunit ribosomal RNA", at positions 28 to 507 of the family's 1533-position model. The record is from RNAcentral.